This 69-nucleotide transfer RNA is filed under the name Rattus norvegicus (Norway rat). It matches the Rfam family "tRNA". Rfam says of the family: Transfer RNA (tRNA) molecules are approximately 80 nucleotides in length. Their secondary structure includes four short double-helical elements and three loops (D, anti-codon, and T loops). The record is from Rfam by way of RNAcentral. Lineage: Eukaryota; Metazoa; Chordata; Mammalia; Rodentia; Muridae.
GGGGAUUUAGCUCAGUGGUAGAGCACUUGCCUAGUAUGCGCAAGGCCCUGGGUUCGGUCCCCAGCUCCG